This 409-nucleotide ribosomal RNA is filed under the name bacterium. RNAcentral's name for it is "partial 16S ribosomal RNA". It matches the Rfam family "Bacterial small subunit ribosomal RNA", at positions 355 to 776 of the family's 1533-position model. The record is from RNAcentral.
UGGGGAAUAUUGCACAAUGGGCGAAAGCCUGAUGCAGCGACGCCGCGUGAGGGAUGACGGCCUUCGGGUUGUAAACCUCUUUCAGUAGGGACGAAGCGCAAGUGACGGUACCUGCAGAAGAAGCACCGGCUAACUACGUGCCAGCAGCCGCGGUAAUACGUAGGGUGCGAGCGUUGUCCGGAGUUACUGGGCGUAAAGAGCUCGUAGGCGGUUUGUCACGUCGUCUGUGAAAUCCUAGGGCUUAACCCUGGACGUGCAGGCGAUACGGGCUGACUUGAGUACUACAGGGGAGACUGGAAUUUCUGGUGUAGCGGUGGAAUGCACAGAUAUCAGGAAGAACACCGAUGGCGAAGGCAGGUCUCUGGGUAGUAACUGACGCUGAGGAGCGAAAGCAUGGGUAGCGAACAGG